This is a long non-coding RNA of Stylophora pistillata, 786 nucleotides long. NCBI's taxonomy places the organism in Eukaryota, Metazoa, Cnidaria, Anthozoa, Scleractinia, Pocilloporidae. The record is from RefSeq and is a predicted model, not a curated record.
UCGAGGCUCUGUGAUGUGUCGCUUUCGAUCUCGCGAAGCCUACGAGUUGUUAUGUUCCUAAAUGCCAUCAAAAGGGAACAAAAUCUUCCAUAGAAAGAAAGCUUCCAACCUCCAAUAAGCCAGCAGACAACCUCAGAAAGAAACGAAAAUAUCACCUGCCAUCCACCGAAACGAAGAGACUGGCUGACUCAUUUAUUUACAGCUUGACCGAUGCAUGGUAGGGUACAUAACGGAAGUCCUUGGAAAGUUCUGGAGUAUUUUAGAACAUUACUCUAUAAUGUAAAUGGAAAAAAUCGAAACUGACUCACGGAGAGACGAAUAAAUUGAAUUCAGCGUUGGAGUGACUAACACAAUGAUGGAGGGUCACACGAUGAACAAAGUCACAUAACGGACAAAGUCACGCGACGAACAAAAUCUCACUACGGACAAAGUCAUGCCACGGACGACGUCACGCGAUGGAAUGAGCCAAGUGAGAAUAAGUCGUAGAGUACUAGCGUACUUUGUAAAGUGUUAAAUCGAGUCGUGCUACAGAUCACCCCCGCGAUUCCAAAAAAAUGUCGACCGCUUAAAAGAGAAGAUAACAACGUCGUUAGACAAAAAUAAAAAAGAAAACACCUUUAAGUGCGACUGUUAUGCCGCGGAUGUUUUCUAAGAGAACAAAAAAACUGUUUUAAGGAUUUAAUAUCUAGGUUUUUUAAAACCUAGUUAUUAAAUCCUUAAAAUCCUUAUCAACCACGUAAGUUUAUUACUAAUGACCACAAGUAGAGGCUAUGGAAUGUAUAAUUA